GAUGAACGCUGGCGGCGUGCUUAACACAUGCAAGUCGAACGAAGCAUUUAGGACAGAUUACUUCGGUUUGAAGUUCUUUAUGACUGAGUGGCGGACGGGUGAGUAACGCGUGGGUAACCUGCCUUGUACUGGGGGAUAGCAGCUGGAAACGGCUGGUAAUACCGCAUAAGCGCACAAUGUUGCAUGACAUGGUGUGAAAAACUCCGGUGAUAUAAGAUGGACCCGCGUCUGAUUAGCUAGUUGGUGAGAUAACAGCCCACCAAGGCGACGAUCAGUAGCCGACCUGAGAGGGUGACCGGCCACAUUGGGACUGAGACACGGCCCAGACUCCUACGGGAGUCAGCAGUGGGGAAUAUUGCACAAUGGAGGAAACUCUGAUGCAGCGACGCCGCGUGAGUGAAGAAGUAAUUCGUUAUGUAAAGCUCUAUCAGCAGGGAAGAUAGUGACGGUACCUGACUAAGAAGCUCCGGCUAAAUACGUG
RNAcentral lists this ribosomal RNA (481 nucleotides) under uncultured bacterium. RNAcentral describes it as "partial 16S ribosomal RNA". It matches the Rfam family "Bacterial small subunit ribosomal RNA", at positions 28 to 507 of the family's 1533-position model. The record is from RNAcentral.